RNAcentral lists this ribosomal RNA (2108 nucleotides) under Listeria monocytogenes. RNAcentral describes it as "bacterial LSU rRNA". It matches the Rfam family "Bacterial large subunit ribosomal RNA", at positions 197 to 2298 of the family's 2925-position model. Lineage: Bacteria; Bacillati; Bacillota; Bacilli; Caryophanales; Listeriaceae. The record is from RNAcentral.
AACAUCUAAGUACCUGGAGGAAGAGAAAGAAAAAUCGAUUUCCUGAGUAGCGGCGAGCGAAACGGAAAGAGCCCAAACCAAGAAGCUUGCUUCUUGGGGUUGUAGGACACUCUAUACGGAGUUACAAAAGAAAGUUAUAAAUGAAGCGGUCUGGAAAGGCCCGCCAAAGACGGUAACAGCCCGGUAGUUGAAAUGGCUUUCCCUCCAGAGUGGAUCCUGAGUACGGCGGAACACGUGAAAUUCCGUCGGAAUCCGGGAGGACCAUCUCCCAAGGCUAAAUACUCCCUAGUGACCGAUAGUGAACCAGUACCGUGAGGGAAAGGUGAAAAGCACCCCGGAAGGGGAGUGAAACAGUUCCUGAAACCGUGUGCCUACAAGUAGUUAGAGCCCGUUAAUGGGUGAUAGCGUGCCUUUUGUAGAAUGAACCGGCGAGUUACGAUUUGUUGCAAGGUUAAGCGGAAAAAGCGGAGCCGUAGCGAAAGCGAGUCUGAAUAGGGCGCAUAAGUAACAGGUCGUAGACCCGAAACCAGGUGAUCUACCCAUGUCCAGGAUGAAGGUAAGGUAAUACUUACUGGAGGUCCGAACCCACGCACGUUGAAAAGUGCGGGGAUGAGGUGUGGGUAGCGGAGAAAUUCCAAUCGAACUUGGAGAUAGCUGGUUCUCUCCGAAAUAGCUUUAGGGCUAGCCUCGAGGUAAAGAGUCAUGGAGGUAGAGCACUGUUUGGACUAGGGGCCCUUCUCGGGUUACCGAAUUCAGAUAAACUCCGAAUGCCAUGUACUUAUACUCGGGAGUCAGACUGCGAGUGAUAAGAUCCGUAGUCGAAAGGGAAACAGCCCAGACCACCAGUUAAGGUCCCCAAAUAUAUGUUAAGUGGAAAAGGAUGUGGGGUUGCUUAGACAACCAGGAUGUUGGCUUAGAAGCAGCCACCAUUGAAAGAGUGCGUAAUAGCUCACUGGUCGAGUGACCCCGCGCCGAAAAUGUACCGGGGCUAAACAUAUUACCGAAACUGUGGAUGAACCUCUUCGGAGGUUCGUGGUAGGAGAGCGUUCUAAGGGCGGUGAAGUCAGACCGGAAGGACUGGUGGAGCGCUUAGAAGUGAGAAUGCCGGUAUGAGUAGCGAAAGAAGGGUGAGAAUCCCUUCCACCGAAUAUCUAAGGUUUCCUGAGGAAGGCUCGUCCGCUCAGGGUUAGUCGGGACCUAAGCCGAGGCCGAUAGGCGUAGGCGAUGGACAACAGGUAGAGAUUCCUGUACCAGUGCUAAUUGUUUAACCGAUGGGGUGACACAGAAGGAUAGGGAAUCGCACGAAUGGAAAUGUGCGUCCAAGCAGUGAGUGUGAGAAGUAGGCAAAUCCGCUUCUCGCGAAGCAUGAGCUGUGAUGGGGAAGGAAAUUAAGUACGGAAGUUCCUGAUUUCACGCUGUCAAGAAAAGCCUCUAGGAAGAGUAGUACUGCCCGUACCGCAAACCGACACAGGUAGAUGAGGAGAGAAUCCUAAGGUGAGCGAGAGAACUCUCGUUAAGGAACUCGGCAAAAUGACCCCGUAACUUCGGGAGAAGGGGUGCUCUAUUAGGGUGCAAGCCCGAGAGAGCCGCAGUGAAUAGGCCCAGGCGACUGUUUAGCAAAAACACAGGUCUCUGCAAAACCGUAAGGUGACGUAUAGGGGCUGACGCCUGCCCGGUGCUGGAAGGUUAAGAGGAGUGCUUAGCUUCGGCGAAGGUACGAAUUGAAGCCCCAGUAAACGGCGGCCGUAACUAUAACGGUCCUAAGGUAGCGAAAUUCCUUGUCGGGUAAGUUCCGACCCGCACGAAAGGCGCAACGAUCUGGGCACUGUCUCAACGAGAGACUCGGUGAAAUUAUAGUACCUGUGAAGAUGCAGGUUACCCGCGACAGGACGGAAAGACCCCGUGGAGCUUUACUGCAACCUGAUAUGGAAUGUUUGUACCGCUUGUACAGGAUAGGUAGGAGCCGAAGAGACGUGUGCGCUAGCAUACGAGGAGGCAAUGGUGGGAUACUACCCUGGCUGUAUGACCAUUCUAACCCGCCACGCUUAGCGCGUGGGGAGACAGUGUCAGGUGGGCAGUUUGACUGGGGCGGUCGCCUCCUAAAGAGU